This 437-nucleotide ribosomal RNA is filed under the name uncultured bacterium. RNAcentral's name for it is "partial 16S ribosomal RNA". It matches the Rfam family "Bacterial small subunit ribosomal RNA", at positions 29 to 507 of the family's 1533-position model. The record is from RNAcentral.
AGCGAACGCUGGCGGCAGGCUUAACACAUGCAAGUCGAGCGGGCACCUUUCGGGGUGUCAGCGGCGGACGGGUGAGUAACGCGUGGGAACGUGCCCUCUGGUUCGGAAUAACUCAGGGAAACUUGAGCUAAUACCGGAUACGCCCUUUUGGGGAAAGGCUUGCUGCCGGAGGAUCGGCCCGCGUCUGAUUAGCUAGUUGGUGAGGUAACGGCUCACCAAGGCGACGAUCAGUAGCUGGUCUGAGAGGAUGAUCAGCCACACUGGGACUGAGACACGGCCCAGACUCCUACGGGAGGCAGCAGUGGGGAAUAUUGAACAAUGGGCGCAAGCCUGAUCCAGCCAUGCCGCGUGAGUGAUGAAGGCCUUAGGGUUGUAAAGCUCUUUUUUCCGGGACGAUAAUGACGGUACCGGAGGAAUAAGCCCCGGCUAACUUCGUG